GGGUUGUGAGGUUAAGCGACUAAGCGUACACGGUGGAUGCCCUGGCAGUCAGAGGCGAUGAAGGACGUGCUAAUCUGCGAAAAGCGUCGGUAAGGUGAUAUGAACCGUUAUAACCGGCGAUGUCCGAAUGGGGAAACCCAGUGCAAUUCGUUGCACUAUCGUUAACUGAAUACAUAGGUUAACGAGGCGAACCGGGGGAACUGAAACAUCUAAGUACCCCGAGGAAAAGAAAUCAACCGAGAUUCCCCCAGUAGCGGCGAGCGAACGGGGAGCAGCCCAGAGUCUGAAUCAGCUUGUGUGUUAGUGGAACGGUCUGGAAAGUCCGACGGUACAGGGUGAUAGUCCCGUACACCAAAAUGCACAGGCUGUGAACUCGAAGAGUAGGGCGGGACACGUGGUAUCCUGUCUGAAUAUGGGGGGACCAUCCUCCAAGGCUAAAUACUCCUGACUGACCGAUAGUGAACCAGUACCGUGAGGGAAAGGCGAAAAGAACCCCGGCGAGGGGAGUGAAAAAGAACCUGAAACCGUGUACGUACAAGCAGUGGGAGCACCUUCGGGUGUGACUGCGUACCUUUUGUAUAAUGGGUCAGCGACUUAUAUUCUGUAGCAAGGUUAACCGUAUAGGGGAGCCGCAGGGAAACCGAGUCUUAACUGGGCGUUAAGUUGCAGGGUAUAGACCCGAAACCCGGUGAUCUAGCCAUGGGCAGGUUGAAGGUUGGGUAACACUAACUGGAGGACCGAACCGACUAAUGUUGAAAAAUUAGCGGAUGACUUGUGGCUGGGGGUGAAAGGCCAAUCAAACCGGGAGAUAGCUGGUUCUCCCCGAAAGCUAUUUAGGUAGCGCCUCGUGAAUUCAUCUUCGGGGGUAGAGCACUGUUUCGGCUAGGGGGUCAUCCCGACUUACCAACCCGAUGCAAACUACGAAUACCGAAGAAUGUUAUCACGGGAGACACACGGCGGGUGCUAACGUCCGUCGUGAAGAGGGAAACAACCCAGACCGCCAGCUAAGGUCCCAAAGUCAUGGUUAAGUGGGAAACGAUGUGGGAAGGCACAGACAGCCAGGAUGUUGGCUUAGAAGCAGCCAUCAUUUAAAGAAAGCGUAAUAGCUCACUGGUCGAGUCGGCCUGCGCGGAAGAUGUAACGGGGCUAAACCAUGCACCGAAGCUGCGGCAGCGACACUAUGUGUUGUUGGGUAGGGGAGCGUUCUGUAAGCCUGCGAAGGUGUGCUGUGAGGCAUGCUGGAGGUAUCAGAAGUGCGAAUGCUGACAUAAGUAACGAUAAAGCGGGUGAAAAGCCCGCUCGCCGGAAGACCAAGGGUUCCUGUCCAACGUUAAUCGGGGCAGGGUGAGUCGACCCCUAAGGCGAGGCCGAAAGGCGUAGUCGAUGGGAAACAGGUUAAUAUUCCUGUACUUGGUGUUACUGCGAAGGGGGGACGGAGAAGGCUAUGUUAGCCGGGCGACGGUUGUCCCGGUUUAAGCAUGUAGGCUGAUUGUCCAGGCAAAUCCGGAUAAUCAAGGCUGAGGUGUGAUGACGAGGCACUACGGUGCUGAAGUAACAAAUGCCCUGCUUCCAGGAAAAGCCUCUAAGCAUCAGGUAACAUCAAAUCGUACCCCAAACCGACACAGGUGGUCAGGUAGAGAAUACCAAGGCGCUUGAGAGAACUCGGGUGAAGGAACUAGGCAAAAUGGUGCCGUAACUUCGGGAGAAGGCACGCUGGUGUGUAGGUGAAGUCCCUGCGGAUGGAGCUGAGACCAGUCGAAGAUACCAGCUGGCUGCAACUGUUUAUUAAAAACACAGCACUGUGCAAACACGAAAGUGGACGUAUACGGUGUGACGCCUGCCCGGUGCCGGAAGGUUAAUUGAUGGGGUUAUCCGUAAGGAGAAGCUCUUGAUCGAAGCCCCGGUAAACGGCGGCCGUAACUAUAACGGUCCUAAGGUAGCGAAAUUCCUUGUCGGGUAAGUUCCGACCUGCACGAAUGGCGUAAUGAUGGCCAGGCUGUCUCCACCCGAGACUCAGUGAAAUUGAACUCGCUGUGAAGAUGCAGUGUACCCGCGGCAAGACGGAAAGACCCCGUGAACCUUUACUAUAGCUUGACACUGAACAUUGAGCCUUGAUGUGUAGGAUAGGUGGGAGGCUUUGAAGCGUGGACGCCAGUCUGCGUGGAGCCAACCUUGAAAUACCACCCUUUAAUGUUUGAUGUUCUAACGUUGGCCCCUUACCGGGGUUGCGGACAGUGUCUGGUGGGUAGUUUGACUGGGGCGGUCUCCUCCCAAAGCGUAACGGAGGAGCACGAAGGUUAGCUAAUCCUGGUCGGACAUCAGGAGGUUAGUGCAAUGGCAUAAGCUAGCUUGACUGCGAGCGUGACGGCGCGAGCAGGUGCGAAAGCAGGUCAUAGUGAUCCGGUGGUUCUGAAUGGAAGGGCCAUCGCUCAACGGAUAAAAGGUACUCCGGGGAUAACAGGCUGAUACCGCCCAAGAGUUCAUAUCGACGGCGGUGUUUGGCACCUCGAUGUCGGCUCAUCACAUCCUGGGGCUGAAGUAGGUCCCAAGGGUAUGGCUGUUCGCCAUUUAAAGUGGUACGCGAGCUGGGUUUAGAACGUCGUGAGACAGUUCGGUCCCUAUCUGCCGUGGGCGCUGGAGAAUUGAGGGGGGCUGCUCCUAGUACGAGAGGACCGGAGUGGACGCAUCACUGGUGUUCGGGUUGUCAUGCCAAUGGCACUGCCCGGUAGCUAAAUGCGGAAGAGAUAAGUGCUGAAAGCAUCUAAGCACGAAACUUGCCCCGAGAUGAGUUCUCCCUGAGACUUUAAGUCUCCUGAAGGAACGUUGAAGACGACGACGUUGAUAGGCCGGGUGUGUAAGCGCAGCGAUGCGUUGAGCUAACCGGUACUAAUGAACCGUGAGGCUUAACCUUACAACGCCGAAG
Molecule: ribosomal RNA, 2923 nt
Filed under: Klebsiella pneumoniae
Lineage: Bacteria; Pseudomonadati; Pseudomonadota; Gammaproteobacteria; Enterobacterales; Enterobacteriaceae
Also listed under: 1 other name
Description: bacterial LSU rRNA
Rfam family: Bacterial large subunit ribosomal RNA
Source: RNAcentral